RNAcentral lists this ribosomal RNA (447 nucleotides) under uncultured bacterium. Its description in RNAcentral is "bacterial SSU rRNA". It matches the Rfam family "Bacterial small subunit ribosomal RNA", at positions 329 to 775 of the family's 1533-position model. The record is from RNAcentral.
UGCCAGACUCCUACGGGAGGCAGCAGUGGGGAAUAUUGCACAAUGGGGGAAACCCUGAUGCAGCGACGCCGCGUGAGUGAAGAAGUAUUUCGGUAUGUAAAGCUCUAUCAGCAGGGAAGAAAUACUGACCAUAGGGUCAGCAGACGGUACUUGACUAAGAAGCCCCGGCUAACUACGUGCCAGUAGCCGCGGUAAUACGUAGGGGGCAAGCGUUAUCCGGAUUUACUGGGUGUAAAGGGAGCGUAGACGGCAGCGCAAGUCUGAAGUGAAAUGCCAGGGCUUAACCCUGGAACUGCUUUGGAAACUGUGCGGCUAGAGUGCAGGAGAGGUAAGUGGAAUUUCUAGUGUAGCGGUGAAAUGCGUAGAUAUUAGGAGGAACACCAGUGGCGAAGGCGGCUUACUGGACUGUAACUGACGUUGAGGCUCGAAAGCGUGGGGAGCAAACAG